Molecule: ribosomal RNA, 120 nt
Filed under: Gymnadenia x densiflora
Lineage: Eukaryota; Viridiplantae; Streptophyta; Magnoliopsida; Asparagales; Orchidaceae
Description: partial 5.8S ribosomal RNA
Rfam family: 5.8S ribosomal RNA
About the family: 5.8S ribosomal RNA (5.8S rRNA) is a component of the large subunit of the eukaryotic ribosome. It is transcribed by RNA polymerase I as part of the 45S precursor that also contains 18S and 28S rRNA.
Source: RNAcentral
AAAACGCAGCGAAAUGCGAUACGUGGUGCGAAUUGCAGAAUCCCGUGAACCAUCGAGUUUUUGAACGCAAGUUGCGCCUGAGGCCAGCUGGCCGAGGGCACGUCCGCCUGGGCGUCAAGC